RNAcentral lists this ribosomal RNA (183 nucleotides) under uncultured bacterium. RNAcentral's name for it is "partial 16S ribosomal RNA". It matches the Rfam family "Bacterial small subunit ribosomal RNA", at positions 1319 to 1500 of the family's 1533-position model. The record is from RNAcentral.
CGUGAAGCUGGAUUCGCUAGUAAUCGCGCAUCAGCCAUGGCGCGGUGAAUACGUUCCCGGGUCUUGUACACACCGCCCGUCACACCAUGGGAGUCGGGAAUGCCCGAAGUCAGUGACCCAACCAUAUGGAGGGAGCUGCCGAAGGCAGGUCUGAUAACUGGGGUGAAGUCGUAACAAGGUAAC